RNAcentral lists this ribosomal RNA (253 nucleotides) under uncultured bacterium. Its description in RNAcentral is "partial 16S ribosomal RNA". It matches the Rfam family "Bacterial small subunit ribosomal RNA", at positions 524 to 776 of the family's 1533-position model. The record is from RNAcentral.
UACGAAGGGGGCGAGCGUUGUUCGGAAUUACUGGGCGUAAAGGGCGCGUAGGCGGCGACUCAAGUUAGAUGUGAAAGUCCUGGGCUUAACCUGGGGACUGCAUUUGAUACUGUAGGUCUCGAGUCCGGAAGAGGUGGGUGGAAUUCCUAGUGUAGAGGUGAAAUUCGUAGAUAUUAGGAAGAACACCGGUGGCGAAGGCGGCCCACUGGUCCGGUACUGACGCUGAGGUGCGAAAGCGUGGGGAGCAAACAGG